AGAGUUUGAUCCUGGCUCAGAACGAACGCUGGCGGCGUGCUUAACACAUGCAAGUCGAACGCGAAAUUUUUUCUUCGGAAGAAAGAGUAGAGUGGCGCACGGGUGAGUAACGCGUAAAUAAUCUACCCCUGCAUCUGGGAUAACCCACCGAAAGGUGAGCUAAUACCGGAUACGUUCUUUAGAUUGCGAGAUUUAGAGAAGAAAGGUGGCCUCUGAUAUAAGCUACUGUGCGGGGAGGAGUUUGCGUACCAUUAGCUAGUUGGUAGGGUAAUGGCCUACCAAGGCAACGAUGGUUAGCGGGUCUGAGAGGAUGAUCCGCCACACUGGAACUGGAACACGGACCAGACUCCUACGGGAGGCAGCAGUGAGGAAUAUUGCGCAAUGGGGGAAACCCUGACGCAGCAACGCCGUGUGAGUGAAGAAGGUUUUCGGAUCGUAAAGCUCUGUCAAGUGGGAAAAAGGCUUUAUAUUUAAUAGGUAUAAAGAUUGAUGUACCACUAAAGAAGCACCGCUAACU
Molecule: ribosomal RNA, 517 nt
Filed under: uncultured bacterium
Lineage: Bacteria
Description: bacterial SSU rRNA
Rfam family: Bacterial small subunit ribosomal RNA
Source: RNAcentral